UUGACAUAUACAGGAAUGUUGUAGAGAUACAGCAGCCGCUUGCGGUCUGUAUACAGGUGCUGCAUGGCUGUCGUCAGCUCGUGCUGUGAAGUGUUGGGUUAAGCCCCGCAACGGGCGCAACCCUAUCAUCUGUUGCCAGCAUUUAAGGUGGGGACUCAGAUGAGACUGCCGGUGACAAACCGGAGGAAGGUGGGGACGACGUCAAGUCAUCAUGGCCCUUAUGUCCUGGGCUACACACGUGCUACAAUGGCCGGUACAGAGUGAAGCGAAACCGCGAGGUGAAGCAAAACGCAGAAAGCCGGUCUCAGUACGGAUUGGAGUCUGAAACUCGACUUCAUGAAGUUGGAAUCGCUAGUAAUCGUGCACCAGCAUGGCGCGGUGAAUACGUUCCCGGGCCUU
This 399-nucleotide ribosomal RNA is filed under the name uncultured Spirochaeta sp. RNAcentral describes it as "bacterial SSU rRNA". It matches the Rfam family "Bacterial small subunit ribosomal RNA", at positions 981 to 1382 of the family's 1533-position model. The record is from RNAcentral. Lineage: Bacteria; Pseudomonadati; Spirochaetota; Spirochaetia; Spirochaetales; Spirochaetaceae.